This 368-nucleotide ribosomal RNA is filed under the name uncultured bacterium. RNAcentral's name for it is "bacterial SSU rRNA". It matches the Rfam family "Bacterial small subunit ribosomal RNA", at positions 527 to 896 of the family's 1533-position model. The record is from RNAcentral.
GGGGGUGGCGAGCGUUACUCGGAUUUAUUGGGUGUAAAGGGCAGGUAGGCGGCUAUGUAAGUCGAUGGUGAAAUCCUUAGGCUCAACCUAAGAACUGCCUUCGAAACUGCAUGGCUUGAGACCAGAAGAGGAGAGCGGAAUUCCCGGUGUAAGGGUGAAAUCUGUAGAUAUCGGGAGGAACACCAGUUGCGAAAGCGGCUCUCUAGUCUGGUUCUGACGCUAAGCUGCGAAAGCUAGGGGAGCAAACAGGAUUAGAUACCCUGGUAGUCCUAGCCGUAAACGAUGAGUACUACGUGUUGGGUCGUAUGAUUCAGCGCCGCAAGAUAACUCGUUAAGUACUCCACCUGGGGACUACGACCGCAAGGUUA